GAGCACCUAGUCCAGUGGUAAGACGUCCGCGCAAGAUCUUGACAGGCUUCCUAGUACUUGACCGUACUGCUUUGUGGAAGAUUUCCCAUCGCUGCAUCUGCCUUGAUUGCGGAAGACGUGUGUUCGAUCCACACGGUGCUUG
Molecule: non-coding RNA, 142 nt
Organism: Alternaria viburni
Lineage: Eukaryota; Fungi; Ascomycota; Dothideomycetes; Pleosporales; Pleosporaceae
Source: the annotation of a RefSeq genome assembly